RNAcentral lists this unclassified non-coding RNA (173 nucleotides) under uncultured Orbiliaceae. Its description in RNAcentral is "sequence contains ITS2". Lineage: Eukaryota; Fungi; Ascomycota; Orbiliomycetes; Orbiliales. The record is from RNAcentral.
CAACCCUCGGUCACCACCGGUUUUGAGCCAGCAGGGCCCCAGGGACCCGGCUGGCUUCAAAGUUGUAAGCUCUGCUGGCUGCCAGGCCCGACCGGAACAUAGUAAAAUCAUUUUCACUUGUUCGAAGGCGAGCUUGAGCGGUACGGCCUGAACAAAACCUACCAAACUCUAAG